RNAcentral lists this long non-coding RNA (1257 nucleotides) under Nicotiana benthamiana. RNAcentral describes it as "long non-coding RNA (NBEN_LNC036533)". Lineage: Eukaryota; Viridiplantae; Streptophyta; Magnoliopsida; Solanales; Solanaceae. The record is from RNAcentral.
UAAACCAAAGAUACUGAUCAGAAUGCAAGAGAGUGAAAUAGAGCUGUUGCUUAUGUCUAUUCUCCUACUAUUAACUCUCUUUCUCUCUUUUUCUUUGCAAUUACUUUCACUUAAUUCUAAAACAUCGCACAAAUUAAAUUAUACUUGGCCUUCUUGAUCUUCCAUUUCUUUUCUCUUCCCACUUUUCUUAUUUUUUACAUUUUUAGAGAGAGAGGGAGAGAUGCAUUGAUUAUGUACGUAUUCUUACAUAUAAUUUUAUGUACUCUUUCAUAGGAAAGGCUACUGUAAUUAGUUUAAAUUCUUAUAUAUCUUAUCAGUAAAAUGAAUGUGUUAGUGGCUGCAUGCGGUAGCUUUGUUAUGUUUCUGUUUCUUUAGAUUAUAUAUAUUCUCUAGCACUGCUAUAUGAGGAAUACGUCCAUUCUUAUACUCCAAUCCUCUCGAUCUUCUAAUUUUGUGAUAAAACUUCAAUUGUUUAUAUCACAGCAUGCAUGCACGUAUAUAUACUUAUAUCAACAAAAGCAUAAAAGCAACGAUCAUUUUCUAAGUAAGAUUUGUGUAAGAAUAACAUUUACUUUAACAUAAGAGGGUAGACACAUCUCAAUAUUCUUGCAUCAACGUCGCUAAAUCUUAAAUUAACUCAAGAAAUAUAACCAAAUCAUGAUGAGAAAAUGACGGGACCCUCUAUAGCCACUCAAAAUUUUAAUAGCCCAUGUUUUUUUAUUGGCCCAAAAUAUCCCUCCGGCCCAAACAUGUAACUUCUAAUAGCCCAAAAUGUCACUAUCCAUAAAUUGUAUAGUGACGGUCUAUUGUAUAUAAAUUAUACAAUGACAGUCUUUUUGUAUAUUUUUUGUAUAACAACAGUCUAUUUUGUAUAUUUUUUAUAUAGUGAUAGUUACUUGUAUACAUUUUGUAUAAUGACAGUCUAUUGUAUAUAAAUUGUAUAGUGAGAGGGCGCCUGCCUCCUCUUCAGAAAUGUCCUCGACAACGUAGCGGUUCUUCGGUCUUCGCUAUUAGGGGUGAGAGUGCUUGGUCGCUAGGGUUUCCUUUUCCUCAACCAAUUCGAUUGUAUCAACUCUAAGAUUGGUCUAAAAUUUUGUUAUGAGCUGGCUAGAUUGUAGAUCAGAUAGACAGUCUAUUUAGUAUAUAUUUUGUAUAGUCACCGUCUAUAUAGUAUAUAUUUUGUAUAGUAACAGUCUAUUUUUUUUUAUAUAUUUUGUAUAGUGACAGUCUAUCGUAUAUAAAUUGUACAAUGACAAC